This 490-nucleotide ribosomal RNA is filed under the name uncultured bacterium. RNAcentral describes it as "partial 16S ribosomal RNA". It matches the Rfam family "Bacterial small subunit ribosomal RNA", at positions 30 to 507 of the family's 1533-position model. The record is from RNAcentral.
AUUGAACGCUGGCGGCAGGCCUAACACAUGCAAGUCGAACGGUAACAGGAAGAAGCUUGCUUCUUUGCUGACGAGUGGCGGGUGGGUGAGUAAUGUCUGGGAAACUGCCUGAUGGAGGGGGAUAACUACUGGAAACGGUAGCUAAUACCGCAUAACGUCGCAAGACCAAAGAGGGGGACCUUCGGGCCUCUUGCCAUCGGAUGUGCCCAGAUGGGAUUAGCUAGUAGGUGGGGUAACGGCUCACCUAGGCGACGAUCCCUAGCUGGUCUGAGAGGAUGACCAGCCACACUGGAACUGAGACACGGUCCAGACUCCUACGGGAGGCAGCAGUGGGGAAUAUUGCACAAUGGGCGCAAGCCUGAUGCAGCCAUGCCGCGUGUAUGAAGAAGGCCUUCGGGUUGUAAAGUACUUUCAGCGGGGAGGAAGGGAGUAAAGUUAAUACCUUUGCUCAUUGACGUUACCCGCAGAAGAAGCACCGGCUAACUCCGUG